Molecule: long non-coding RNA, 323 nt
Filed under: Homo sapiens (human)
Lineage: Eukaryota; Metazoa; Chordata; Mammalia; Primates; Hominidae
Description: HSALNT0313317
Source: RNAcentral
GGAUAUGUGCUCAUUAGGCUGACAUCAUCAGCUGAAAUGACGCCAUUCACAUCCAAGACUUAAUGCACUUGCUGUCGAUGUUUGAUGUAUGCCAGGCACAACCUUAUUCUCCACAAAAAGCCAAGGAAAGACCCAAGUAAUAACAAACUCAGAGAAUGGGAAGCAAGAAAAGGAGAGCAUGAAGUACACAGAUGAUAACAAAUAAUCCAGAAUUAUCAAGUCAAGAUCAAGGCCAAAACCAGCAAGGUCCAUAGACUCCCUAUCACUGGAUGAUCAAAGCAGGUGUUCUACUAGAGAGAAGAUAAAAAUGUGGUCUGUUGUGU